GACGAACCGUCCAAACGUUAUUCGGAAUCACUGGGCUUAAAGGGUGCGUAGGCUGUCCGGUAAGUUGGGUGUGAAAGCCCUCGGCUCAACCGAGGAAUUGCGCCCAAAACUGUCGGGCUGGAGGGAGAUAGAGGUGUGCGGAACUAAGGGUGGAGCGGUGAAAUGCGUUGAUAUCCUUAGGAAUACCAGUAGCGAAAGCGGCACACUAGGUCUCUUCUGACGCUGAGGCACGAAAGCCAGGGGAGCGAACGGG
RNAcentral lists this ribosomal RNA (253 nucleotides) under uncultured bacterium. RNAcentral describes it as "partial 16S ribosomal RNA". It matches the Rfam family "Bacterial small subunit ribosomal RNA", at positions 524 to 776 of the family's 1533-position model. The record is from RNAcentral.